This 464-nucleotide ribosomal RNA is filed under the name uncultured bacterium. Its description in RNAcentral is "partial 16S ribosomal RNA". It matches the Rfam family "Bacterial small subunit ribosomal RNA", at positions 339 to 795 of the family's 1533-position model. The record is from RNAcentral.
CUACGGGACGCAGCAAUGGGGAAUAUUGCACAAUGGGCGCAAGCCUGAUGCAGCCAUGCCGCGUGUAUGAAGAAGGCCUUCGGGUUGUAAAGUACUUUCAGCGGGGAGGAAGGGAGUAAAGUUAAUACCUUUGCUCAUUGACGUUACCCGCAGAAGAAACACCGGCUAACUCCGUGCCAGCAGCCGCGGUAAUACGGAGGGUGCAAGCGUUAAUCGGAAUUACUGGGCGUAAAGCGCACGCAGGCGGUUUGUUAAGUCAGAUGUGAAAUCCCCGGGCUCAACCUGGGAACUGCAUCUGAUACUGGCAAGCUCGAGUCUCGUAGAGGGGGGUAGAAUUCCAGGUGUAGCGGUGAAAUGCGUAGAGAUCUGGAGGAAUACCGGUGGCGAAGGCGGCCCCCUGGACGAAGACUGACGCUCAGGUGCGAAAGCGUGGGGAGCAAACAGGAUUAGAUACCCUCGUAGUC